AGUGAACGCUGGCGGUAGGCCUAACACAUGCAAGUCGAACGGCAGCACAGGAGAGCUUGCUCUCUAGGUGGCGAGUGGCGGACGGGUGAGGAAUACAUCGGAAUCUGCCCAGUCGUGGGGGAUAACGUAGGGAAACCUACGCUAAUACCGCAUACGACCUUCGGGUGAAAGAGGGGGAUCGCAAGACCUCUCGCGAUUGGAUGAGCCGAUGUCGGAUUAGCUAGUUAGCGGGGUAAUGGCCCACCAAGGCGACGAUCCGUAGCUGGUCUGAGAGGAGGAUCAGGCACAGUGGAAUGAAGGGCCGGUCCGGGCCCUAAGGGGGGCCAGCAGGGGGGAAUAUUGGACAAGGGGGGAAAGCUUGAACAAGCCAUGCGGGGUGGUGGAAGAAGGCCUCCGGGUGGAAAAGCCCUUUUGUGGGGAAAAAAACUUUCAGGGCUAAUACCCUGGGGGGUGACGGUACCCCAAAAAAAAACACCCGGUAACCUUGUG
This 489-nucleotide ribosomal RNA is filed under the name uncultured bacterium. RNAcentral describes it as "partial 16S ribosomal RNA". It matches the Rfam family "Bacterial small subunit ribosomal RNA", at positions 30 to 507 of the family's 1533-position model. The record is from RNAcentral.